Molecule: ribosomal RNA, 465 nt
Filed under: uncultured bacterium
Lineage: Bacteria
Description: partial 16S ribosomal RNA
Rfam family: Bacterial small subunit ribosomal RNA
Source: RNAcentral
GAUGAACGCUGGCGGCGUGCUUAACACAUGCAAGUCGAACGGAAAGGCUCCUGCUUGCAGGGGUACUCGAGUGGCGAACGGGUGAGUAACACGUGGGUGAUCUGCCCUGCACUUCGGGAUAAGCCUGGGAAACUGGGUCUAAUACCGGAUAGGACGAUGGUUUGGAUGCCAUUGUGGAAAGUUUUUCGGUGUGGGAUGAGCUCGCGGCCUAUCAGCUUGUUGGUGGGGUAAUGGCCUACCAAGGCGUCGACGGGUAGCCGGCCUGAGAGGGUGUACGGCCAUAUGGGGACUGAGAUCGCGCACGGCCCCCGCCGGGAGGCGGCAGGGGGGAAUUUGGCACAAGGGGAGCAGGCCGAAUGCAGCCACCCCGCGUGGGGGAGGGCGCCUUUCGGUUUAAACACUUCUUCCCCGGGGGACGAAGCGAAAGGAGCGGUCCCUGGAAAAAAGACCCGGCCAAGCUCCGUG